CCUACGGGAGGCAGCAGUGAGGAAUAUUGGUCAAUGGACGAGAGUCUGAACCAGCCAAGUAGCGUGAAGGAUGACUGCCCUAUGGGUUGUAAACUUCUUUUAUAUGGGAAUAAAAUGUUCCACGUGUGGGAUUUUGUAUGUACCAUAUGAAUAAGGAUCGUCUAACUCCGUGCCAGCAGCCGCAGUAAUACGGAGGAUCCGAGCGUUAUCCGGAUUUAUUGGGUUUAAAGGGAGCGUAGGUGGAUUGUUAAGUCAGUUGUGAAAGUUUGCGGCUCAACCGUAAAAUUGCAGUUGAAACUGGCAGUCUUGAGUACAGUAGAGGUGGGCGGAAUUCGUGGUGUAGCGGUGAAAUGCUUAGAUAUCACGAAGAACUCCGAUUGCGAAGGCAGUUCACUGGACUGCAACUGACACUGAGGCUCGAAAGUGUGGGUAUCAAACAGGAUUAGAUACCCGGGUAGUC
This 460-nucleotide ribosomal RNA is filed under the name uncultured bacterium. Its description in RNAcentral is "partial 16S ribosomal RNA". It matches the Rfam family "Bacterial small subunit ribosomal RNA", at positions 338 to 795 of the family's 1533-position model. The record is from RNAcentral.